AUGGCUGAAGAAGGUGGAAAAAAAUUUGGUAGAAAUUACCUCACAUGGACAGAUGAAAUGGACAUUGCACUACUGGAGGUCCUUGUUGAGCAUCACAACAAUGGUGAUCAUGCCCAGAAUGGAUGGAAGUCCCAUGUCUACAGUGUUGUUAUAGGUAAUGUGCGUGGGAAGUGCAAUGUGACCAUCACAAAGGAAAACAUAAGUUCAAGGUGCAAAACCUUUGAAAAGCACUAUGAGGCCAUAAGCAAGAUGCUUUCUCAAAGUGGAUUUGGGUGGGAUUGGAUCAAUAACAAGCUGUCAAUUGAUAGUGAAGAUGUGCGGAUUAAAUAUGUUGCGGCUAACAAGAAAGUGGGAUUUUACAAGAACAAGGUCAUUAAGAAUUGGGAUGCUAUCACACUAGUAGAAAAAGGGUCAAAUGUCAAGCACAUUAGUGCCGGUUUGCUUUUGAGCCGGCACUAA
This 459-nucleotide ribosomal RNA is filed under the name Triticum aestivum (bread wheat). RNAcentral describes it as "partial small subunit ribosomal RNA". Lineage: Eukaryota; Viridiplantae; Streptophyta; Magnoliopsida; Poales; Poaceae. The record is from RNAcentral.